GCCCGGGUGGCUCAGUCAGUUAAGCGCCCGACUUCAGCUCAGGUCACGAUCUCACGGUCCGUGGGUUCGAGCCCCGCAUUGGGCU
Molecule: transfer RNA, 85 nt
Filed under: Felis catus (domestic cat)
Lineage: Eukaryota; Metazoa; Chordata; Mammalia; Carnivora; Felidae
Rfam family: tRNA
About the family: Transfer RNA (tRNA) molecules are approximately 80 nucleotides in length. Their secondary structure includes four short double-helical elements and three loops (D, anti-codon, and T loops).
Source: Rfam by way of RNAcentral